AAGAGCCGCUGAGUGGGGAGGAGAGAGGGACAGAGAGCCUGCUUGCUUUAACGGAGCAACGCGGGAGAGUUGGCUCCUUUAAAGCAAGCAGGCUCUCUGUCCCUCUUUCCUCCCCACUCAGCUCGCUAAA
This 130-nucleotide microRNA precursor is filed under the name Podarcis lilfordi (Lilford's wall lizard). Lineage: Eukaryota; Metazoa; Chordata; Lepidosauria; Squamata; Lacertidae. The record is from RNAcentral.